UACGGGGGGAGCAAGCGUUGUUCGGAUUUACUGGGCGUAAAGGGCGCGUAGGCGGUAGCACAAGUCAGUUGUGAAAUCUCCGGGCUUAACUCGGAAAGGUCAACUGAUACUGUGCGACUAGAGUGCAGAAGGGGCAACUGGAAUUCUCGGUGUAGCGGUGAAAUGCGUAGAUAGCGAGAGGAACACCUGCGGCGAAGGCGGGUUGCUGGGCUGACACUGACGCUGAGGCGCGAAAACCAGGGGAGCGAACGGG
Molecule: ribosomal RNA, 253 nt
Filed under: uncultured bacterium
Lineage: Bacteria
Description: partial 16S ribosomal RNA
Rfam family: Bacterial small subunit ribosomal RNA
Source: RNAcentral